Molecule: long non-coding RNA, 2475 nt
Organism: Prunus persica (peach)
Lineage: Eukaryota; Viridiplantae; Streptophyta; Magnoliopsida; Rosales; Rosaceae
Exons: 4
Source: RefSeq, a predicted model, not a curated record
GAUGCGCCACUUCUUAUGAUCGUUGGAUGAGUAGUUUGGGCAUGUGAAGUAAUCCACACCGUUGCUUGUUGGUUACCGGUUAACUUGUUGCUAUAGGUAAAAUAAAUAAAAUAAAAACAAUUGCUCUCUCCUUCAGUCAAAGACAUUUCAGAGCCGCUCCUCUCAUUUUUCUCUUCCUCUGAUUUCGAUUCUUUCUACAGCUGCUCCUUUCCUCCUUCUGUGACAAUGACACAGCACCAACAACCACAUCUCCUCUCCUCUCAAGUAAGUCAGUGUCCUUAUUCUCAUUCUUCUAUCUCCUUACAUCUCUCUAUGAACAGAGCCGCACUGCCUCCUCUUUUCUCAGUCUCUGUCUAAUUUUGAAUCCUUCCACGGGCUCUCCUCCUUCUGUGACGACGUAGACGAGACAGGGUCGGCGGCGUCAUAUUCUUUCCUCAAUUCCUCUCUCAUAUCAGUUUAAGUUCCUUAGUGUGUUUGGCUCCUCUCCCUCCGUAGUAGCAGAAGUUUUCAAGCUGAGAAGCUUUUGUUCUGUAUCAUCCUACUGUGGUGUCUUACUUGUGCAUCCUUCGUCUAUAGACAGUGCAUAAACAUUGUUGGAGUAGUGAUCAAUAACUACAAGAUUAUCAGCAAAGAAAAAGCAAGCAUCUGGAGUCCCGGAUUUGUGGCGAUUAGAUAAUGCUCCACAUUCAACUUUAAGGCUAUAUCUGCAUUACAUGAAAUCAGUGAAUGCUCAGCUAACUUAAGACACAUAUAAGAAGAAGAACUAUUGUUGGCUAGUGACAGACAUUCAAUCCAAGCAUAUAGAUAUGAAAAAGCAGGAACCAAAGGGAGAGAGAUGAUAACUUCGUAUGAUGGAACAUCAAUCAGGAAUCAGGAUAGAUAAAAAGUAAAGAGAUGUCUACUAUUCAACCGAUUAUCUUCAGAGUCAAUCAAUCCGUAUUGGGAUGACAGUCGGGUCAAGCAUCCCAUAUUGUUUUGUCUUGUGCAGAUAAGACUACUUUUUCUCUCUAUUGGUUGUGUUUGAAAAAACAAAAGGAAAUUGGGUUCAAUUCCUUAGUAUGUUUUGUUUUUUUAGUUUCUGGUUUAAUUUGUUGGUGGGUAGGCAUUAUGAUUCUGCGUUGGGUUGAUUUUUUUUUUUAAAUUUAUGUUUCUCUGCUAGCCAUUAGUUGAUGUGUAGAUUUACAGAAGCUGCUUCUUCCUGGGUAAUCUUCAUCGUACAUCCCUCAAAAUUUAUAACUGCUGCUAGUUCUUGGUUUUUUUAUUUAUAUAUUUCAUUUUUAUGCUUUUAGUUGGCAUGUUACUAAAUUUUCAAAAAACUUUAAUUAUGGUUAUGAUUGAAAAUGCUUCUAAGCUGCUUCAAGCCAUGGAGUUAUGAUCUAAACUAGUAUUUGCCAAAUUGAAAGUUUGACAAUGAUUGCAGUGCUAUUUUAUCAUAUUUGCUUUUGUAUUGUAGGCAAUUUUGAUUCAUCAAUUCUUUCCACUGAAAUACCAUUAAUCUUUCCCCUGUAUUGUAGGGAAUUUUGUUUCCUCCGGCCUCAAAGCAAAGACUAGGUAAUUUGGAUUUGAAAUGUGUGUACUUUGAUUUCUGUUCUUAGUAGAAAAAAUAUAGUGGAGGUUGUUGUGGUCUCUGAGAUAGUUGCAGGCCUUUACAAAGGUAGUUCUAACUUCUAUUCUAUUGAUGUGGUCUUUGUGAUGGUUUUCAUAAUGUAGUUGCUUUUUGUUGCUUGUGUAGGGUUGAUCUAGAAAAGAGACGUGCAGAGAAGGAACGGGCAGAAAAGGGGCACGUGCCUUCUGGUUAUUUUCUUUCUCUUACUUUCAGAGUUUUAGUAGGUAGUUUCUUUCCUUUUUAUGAAUGAUUUUCUUAAUGCCUUGUCUUUGCAAUAUGCGACAUUUGACUUUAGACAACACCCAAUAAUUGACCUGUGGGUAGUUAUCUAUAACUAUUGUUUUAUUUGGCUUGUAUGUUUUCCUGUUUACUGGACUUCCCAACCCACUGAACAUGAAACUUCACUGCAGUCAAGGGUACCAUGCAUAUGAAGAGUCCUAAUUUACAUGACUUCAAAAUCUUCUUCAUGGGAAAGUGACUCACUCUUCUUCAUGGGCUUCUUAAUUUGAAAUUGGUUUUGAUUAUGUUUUCCAGUUAGGUAUUGUUUUGAUUUUGAUUUUGGAUUUGCAGGUAUUCCAACUAGCAGCCUAUCCACCUUUCCCAGCAUCUGAUAUGGGUUGGGGUAAAGAAUUAGGCCAAGUACAAGACUAAUAUACUAUUUUGGAGUCUAUUUAUUUGGCUACUUGCAUUUGUAAUAUUUUCAUUGUAUCUGGAGAUUCUUUUUAUUUAUUUAUUUUUUAUUUUUAUUUUUAUUUUUAUACAUAAUGACUUUAGAUUUUAGAUUUAUAAUUAUUGGUUAUGUAAAGUGAAUGUAUUGAACAAUACUUUCAAUUACAUGAAUGAAGUUUAUGUUAGCUUUGAUGUAGUAC